Molecule: ribosomal RNA, 400 nt
Filed under: uncultured bacterium
Lineage: Bacteria
Description: bacterial SSU rRNA
Rfam family: Bacterial small subunit ribosomal RNA
Source: RNAcentral
UCGAGGAUCUUUAGCAAUGGGGGAAACCCUGACUAUGCGACGCCGCGUGAGGGAUGAAGGUUUUCGGAUCGUAAACCUCUUUCGUUAGGAAAGAAACGCCGAGCAAUCGGAACUGACGGUACCUAAGGAAGAAGCCACGGCCAACUCCGUGCCAGCAGCCGCGGUAAUACGGAGGUGGCGAGCGUUACUCGGAUUCAUUGGGUGUAAAGGGCAGGUAGGUGGCCUGACAAGUGGGAGGUGAAAUCCCUCGACUUAAUCGAGGAACUGCCUUCCAAACUAUCAGGCUUGAGUCCAGAAGAGGAGAAUGGAAUUCCCGGUGUAAGGGUGAAAUCUGUAGAUAUCGGGAGGAACACCAGUGGCGAAGGCGAUUCUCUGGUCUGGUUCUGACACUGAGCUGCGA